GGGGAAGUUGUCUAGAUUGGUAUGAUGCAAGGUUUGGGACCUUGUGGUCGGGGGUUCAAAUCCCUCCUUCCCCA
This 74-nucleotide transfer RNA is filed under the name Bacteroidota bacterium. RNAcentral describes it as "Bacteroidetes bacterium (hot springs metagenome) tRNA-Pro". It matches the Rfam family "tRNA". Rfam says of the family: Transfer RNA (tRNA) molecules are approximately 80 nucleotides in length. Lineage: Bacteria; Pseudomonadati; Bacteroidota. The record is from RNAcentral.